Larimichthys crocea (large yellow croaker) is the source of this 1286-nucleotide long non-coding RNA. RefSeq lists it as uncharacterized. The record is from RefSeq and is a predicted model, not a curated record. Lineage: Eukaryota; Metazoa; Chordata; Actinopteri; Sciaenidae. The transcript is spliced from 2 exons.
AAUAUUUGAUUUAGUUUUUAAUCAGGAGAAUUUCCAUCAUAUAAAUAUUUUGUGUAAUUUCAAAGUGUCAGCUGUAGGAUCUGGCACGACUUUAUGAAAACUCCCUUUAAAGUAAUGAAGGUGCUCUUUUGAGUGCCACCAGCUGAUGGCGCACUCUGACAGUUCCUCGUCUCCUGCUGUCGUUUGGGAAAAACCCUUCAGAGUGGGACCUCUGCGCUUUUCUCUGAUCUCCGGUCGUGCCUACGCCCCGUUCCUGACGUUCCCCGCGAAUUUUAUCCACGCCGCUCCGCCAAUUCCACUCAUUUUCCACACCUACCUGACAUGCGGCAUUUGCGGGGAGAAAAGGGGGCACAGAAAGCCGCGCAUCAGUCCGCUGUGGAUCUGUACACAUUUUUGUGUUUUGAAUGGAGUGGGUCUGAUAACUUUUUCUCCCCAUCACGACGCAGAGACAGAAACAGACAACAAUAGAUUAUAAAACAGUCUGCUGCAGUUCAGCUGCAAGGUGAAGGAGUCGAUGUGGGAUUUUUUUUUUUUUUUUUUUUUUGCAUUUUGUUUUUCUCAGAUCCAACAGAAUUCUGGUAAUAUCUCUACAGAAAUGCAGCUAAAUCAUAUUUUUUGUGCUCUGGCAUGGUGAUGAAUGUCGGCUGUAUCACUCACAAGAGCCACGCCGUCCUUACCUGCCAUAUGUCAUUUUCACUGAGGUCAUCUGAGGAGACCAGCGGGUGCAGGAAAUAUGGGAACUGUACAGGAGGUGUGUUUUUUUUUUUUUUUUCCUCUCUUUUUUUUUUGGGUGGGGUUUUUGUCUCGCUUUAUUGCGGCCACGUUUUUGCGCGCACGCCAUGUUUUUCUCGUGCGCUUUUACGCACAGCGACACAAGACUGAACGAGACAUUUGGAUCGAAGAGAAGCUAAAGAGGACAAACGGAAAAGGGAAAGAGCACCAGGGGGCCAAGCUCUGGUUGAGGUAGUAGUUUGUGCUGUUGGUCGGGUUGUCAUAUUACCCCUUGUGGAGAUGACUGCGCAAUCUACUGCCUUGCCGGCGCUGGUGACUUGCGACGGAUGAAUCAAACAGGAUCAACGUGAAUGACUGAGCUCACUGUAUUGUUUGUAAACAGAAUGGACUGAAUGGUGGCGAACAUGCCUUCAUAAUAAUCACGACUGCUUUGAAACUGUUGUGCGUAAAUGAACAGAAGGUGUCAACUGUCACAGAUAUGUUAACAUGACCCAAAGCUCAAAUAUCUCUGCUUUCACAGUUGAAAAUAAACAUAUUUUAAUGGUCUUCAUCAA